Long non-coding RNA from Nycticebus coucang (slow loris), 525 nucleotides. RefSeq lists it as uncharacterized. The transcript has 3 exons. NCBI's taxonomy places the organism in Eukaryota, Metazoa, Chordata, Mammalia, Primates, Lorisidae. The record is from RefSeq and is a predicted model, not a curated record.
GGGCCUCCAGAUAUGACCUAAUCAACGGUCAGCUCCUGUGCACCCCACACCUUGUUCCUCUAGCCAUUCGGCCUACUAGACUCUGGUUUGGAGUUUGCUCUCAGAACCCUUCUCUAGCGGCCCUGAAUUCUUCCAUUCCCAUAGGAAGCCCGCCAUCUGUUCAUCAACUGGAGUCCCUGAAGGAGCAGCUGCAGCCUCUCUCUGAGUCUGAAUGGUAGUGCACACACGCCAGUCCGUGCCACGUGUAAGUGCGCGCCCGUGGACUCUCACACCCAAGUGCGCGCCCGCGGACUCUCAUACCCAAGUGUGCGCCUGCGGACUCUCAUGCCGAGGACGUUCAGCUUCUCAGUUGUCACACCUGCCAGGUCUUUAUCCACCUCACACCUGAACUGAGCUGGGCCGUUGAAAACUAUUGUGCGUGGGAAAUCUGCAAGUCAGGGCGAUGCCUGUGGCUCAAAGAGUGGGGUGCCGGUCCCAUAUACCGGAGGUGGUAGGUUCAGCCCUGGCCAAAAACUGAAAAAUAUA